UGGGAGAAUUAGAAGUAGCCUCGUCCACUU
RNAcentral lists this non-coding RNA (30 nucleotides) under Mus musculus (house mouse). The record is from RNAcentral. Lineage: Eukaryota; Metazoa; Chordata; Mammalia; Rodentia; Muridae. RNAcentral also lists the same sequence under 1 other name.